UCUUCACGAUCAAAAAAAAUGUCAACAGAAAGAAGAAACGCGCAACAAAAUUACGUUGAACUUUGAAUACAUCAUAAAAAGUUUCUCUUUACAUGUUUUUGUAAAAGAAUGUCAAUGAUGGACCGGAAUAUGGAUCAUUUUAGCACAUUUGUGGCUGUGGUGUCAGGAGUAACUUUGUUGUAUAUCUUUCAUUCAGUUUUCUACACUUCUCACAUCUCCUUUAAAUCUCACACAGUCUUUGACUCCCGGAGACAUUUGCCAGGUUCUGUUUAUCUUAUGACCAGAUACCUUCACGAAUCUCUCCGCAAAAAACGAGGACAAAUGUGGAAAAACAAAGACACAAAAGACAAGCUUGUUUUCACUUUGAUCAACUGCAAGUAUGAUGCUGUGUCUUUGAGGAGGUUCUGCAGUGUUUCGGGUUACGGUUGGGACUAUCCUGACAGUGACUUCAGAGAUGUUCCCAUGUGCUAUCCCGAGUUUCUCUGCACCAGACUGCUCACCAUGAUUGUGUGCUCAGAGAGAUUCAAUCUAAGCCCUUUGGGUCUGUUGAGUGUCCGUGAGGUCUUGAGGUUGACUGAGCCCGUGGAUGAGCUGAAAAGAGGGACGUUUUCUCUGCAGGCCAGAGUGCUGGAGUACAGGACCGUUAGUGCGGGAGUGGAGGUGGAUCUCACUUUAACCGCAUCCAGACAUCAGCAGACCGUAUGGACCACCACACUGACUCUACUCUCUCCUAACAAUAAUUUCAGGCCUGAGGCUCAGCCUGACUUCGAGAUCGCCCAUGAUCCUGUCUCAGAGAGAUGCAUCAGCCUGGCUGUUCCUUGGUCCAGCGGUGUGAGAUGUGCCUGGGUGUUUGGUGACCUCUGCCCUCUGCAUGUGUUUACUCGUCCCUCCGCACACAUGCUGUGGAUGUUCUCCAGAUGCAUGGCAGAGAUGGAGAAGCACAAUGGAGUUGAAGUGGUGAGAGCUCCUCUGACUGUGUCCAUCCGUUACAAACAGCCUGUGUAUUUUCCGAGGAAAUUCACCAUCAGAGUCAGUGAAAACACUUCUCAAACCUCAAGCACAGCAUCAUUCUCAGUGGAGGAUCACAGGACUGGGACACUGUACCUCUCAGGACAGAUUAAACAACAGUCAAAGGAGACGGCAGAGUGAUGAUGUGACCUGUCUCUUGGAACAGCGCUCUCUGAGGUGUGUUAGGAAGAGCUUGCCAUGGUCACCAAAGACAACGCUAACUCUGGCUCUGUUGGAAAGACAACCUGUGUGAAGAAGCAAAAGUGUAUGAUGAACAGUUCUCAAAAGGAUGGGACGCUUUUCAGGGACCCGCAGAAGACCAUUUUUGAACCCGAACUGACUCUAGAGGUCACGGCUAAUGAUGGAGGGAAAACAAAUCCGACAGAGGUCGCAUCGAACGGUGUUAUAGGAACAAAUGAACAGACAUGUAAUUCAUGGAGCGUUUCCAAUGUCCAAAAUCUGAAAGAGAUGCAAUAUCUGCACCACGAGGCGGAGGACAGUCUAAUCGACGCGUCACUGGACAUUGACAAGUCCUCUCUAAUGGGUUUCAUCGACUCCAGUUACCUGGAGAGCUCGGAGGAUGUUCAGACCGUUCCCUGCAUCCAGGUGGACGUGAAAACGGAUGUGGUGCUGAUUGAUGAGGAUGAUGAUGAUAUGUCCCUUAGGGAGAGGACAGUGACGGACAUGUCCACUACGGACGGGAACGCGGCCGAGCUCGUGUGUGGGGGUCUCCAGUCAAUCUCCUCUGACUCCUCCCACUCUUUGUGUGAUGGGCGGAGUCAAGAGCAAGGCUCGAUCAUGGAGACUCCUAAUGAGGAGCAGGAGCUGCCCAAAAAACACACACGUUCCUGCUGCCUCUGUGUUAUCAUAUGAUAAAAAAGGGCCAAUAUUAUACACUUUUUGAGCAUUUUUUUUCUUAAACGUAAUUUUAUAAUGUUACGGCCUGUUCAUAUCAAGGACGAUAAAAAUUACUUUAACGUCAACUUUAAAAGACAAUAUCAUUCUGUUUAUUAAAAGCACGCUUUGCAGUUUUGUCGUCUGCCACUUUAAAUACUUGAGCGCUUUAAAGAAGGAUGGAUUCUGAUUGGUUGUCAAAAAUCAUUUAAAAAUUAUUCUGAAAGUGAUUCCAAC
Molecule: non-coding RNA, 2139 nt
Organism: Pimephales promelas (fathead minnow)
Lineage: Eukaryota; Metazoa; Chordata; Actinopteri; Cypriniformes; Leuciscidae
Source: RefSeq, a predicted model, not a curated record